Molecule: ribosomal RNA, 495 nt
Filed under: uncultured bacterium
Lineage: Bacteria
Description: partial 16S ribosomal RNA
Rfam family: Bacterial small subunit ribosomal RNA
Source: RNAcentral
GACGAACGCUGGCGGCGUGCCUAAUACAUGCAAGUAGAACGCUGAAGGAGGAGCUUGCUUCUCUGGAUGAGUUGCGAACGGGUGAGUAACGCGUAGGUAACCUGCCUGGUAGCGGGGGAUAACUAUUGGAAACGAUAGCUAGUACCGCAUAAUAGUAGAUGUUGCAUGACAUUUGCUUAAAAGGUGCAAUUGCAUCACUACCAGAUGGACCUGCGUUGUAUUAGCUAGUUGGUGGGGUAACGGCUCACCAAGGCGACGAUACAUAGCCGACCUGAGAGGGUGAUCGGCCACACUGGGACUGAGACCCGGCCCAGACUCCUACGGGAGGCAGCAGUAGGGAAUCUUCGGCAAUGGACGGAAGUCUGACCGAGCAACGCCGCGUGAGUGAAGAAGGUUUUCGGAUCGUAAAGCUCUGUUGUAAGAGAAGAACGAGUGUGAGAGUGGAAAGUUCACACUGUGACGGUAGCUUACCAGAAAGGGACGGCUAACUACGUG